Molecule: unclassified non-coding RNA, 341 nt
Filed under: fungal sp.
Lineage: Eukaryota; Fungi
Description: partial internal transcribed spacer region
Rfam family: Eukaryotic small subunit ribosomal RNA (bases 1-46)
Source: RNAcentral
AAGUCGUAACAAGGUUUCCGUAGGUGAACCUGCGGAAGGAUCAUUAACACGUUUUCCAACGUUUGAUUUUUGAAUCAUCCACACCCAACCGUUGCACCCUGAGCUCAUGCUGAUGUAUUCGUAAGGAUAUGGAUGCAUGGGAUCAAUCACUCGGCAUGCACUGUCACAGGUGUAUGUCUUCUACCCUUCAACCUAUUUUUCACCCCUUUUUUUUGACUCACCCUACCAACCCCUAGUGGCCUGAUCACUUGUGUCAACCUGUCAUGGGCUGACCGAACCAUAUGGAUGUUUCCAAAUGAGUUUUUUAAAUACAACUCUUAGCAAUGGAUAUCUUGGUUCUC